This is a long non-coding RNA of Pseudoliparis swirei, 538 nucleotides long. RefSeq lists it as uncharacterized. The transcript is spliced from 2 exons. The record is from RefSeq and is a predicted model, not a curated record. Lineage: Eukaryota; Metazoa; Chordata; Actinopteri; Perciformes; Liparidae.
GGUAAAUACUAUUUUCCUUUUGGUUUCUGAUAUAAAAUGAAUCAUUAAUGUGGCUUAUCUGAGACAAUUUAAAGCCUUUUCCUCACUAACAUUCUGUGCUGCCCUGGAGCAGGGGUUUAAACAGAAGUAAAGCAAAUACCUAUUCUGUGACUUGGAGUAGACUUCUGUCGUCAUCACUUUACAUUUCCAUCACGUUGAUCUCUGGACACCAUGUGGGACACAGAUCUCCCCUCUGAGAAAAGGAACCGCCUUUGUUUCACCUCCUCCAGUGGAAACCAACACCUGGGAGCUCUUUGUGGAGGAUUAAUGAAGUCCUUCAUGCUUUGACUCAACCAGAUGAUAGGAGGCUGUGCUGAUGGAGCCUCAAAGAGAGACAGGGAACCGCUGUCACCUUAUUUCCUGCCCCGGCUGUCCUGGUGAGCGACGCUGGGAUCACCCUCACAUGCUGUCAGCGCUGACACGUCCUCCUGACUGAACUGAAAGCGACCUUCUGUAUCCCUGUGGCUGCGUAAAUAAAUGUUACAUUGAAACAAUCCAA